AGCAAAGGUUAUUUAUGCACCGGAACUACUCUAGCACCAUGGCUCGGACCUGCAUUCAGCCAUCUCUGUGUAAGUACCGAGCUAACCGAUGACGCCACUGGAGCUCCAUUCAGCCAUCUCUGUGUAAGUACCGAGCUAACCGAUGACGCCACUGGAGCGCCAUUCAGCCAUCUCUGACGCCAUUGUCCCUGUGUGUGCUUCCUGGCUCUCCUUCCGAGCACGCCAACGUGACACCCAUGCCAACUGCUCCACCCUCUCACUGUCUUACGCCAGCUUCCCGGAUGUGCCGUGAUGAAAAGCCAGGUCACCUAUAGAAUUAGAAAGCAGUAUCACUCACUGCCAGCAGAUACCACUGCCUGAUCCAUGUUAUAUACCAAAAGAAAGAAAGAAAAAAAGGGAGACUCAGGAAGACAGAUGGACAGAAGCACAAGGGAAUUCCUCAAACCAACAUGAAAAACAUGGCCUUCCAACACUUGUGGGAAAAACCAGUGCAGUUUCUAAGAACAUUCAACUUCAGUUUUUGCUUAUGCAGAAAUUUUAAAACUCAUGGGCUCAGAAAUUCAGCUCUGAGUCAGCGGGGAUUUCCAGCACUUACUGUUGAGACUCAACAGGUCUUCAGUUGACUCACUUGGAGGAUGGUGAUAAGCCUGACUACUAGAAGUGAGCUCACUGCAGAAUCCCUGGGGCAAAGCUCAAGCACUCACCCAAUUAGAGUCAAUCCAUCUGUCUUUGCCAAAAACCCAAUAAAGUAGAAAGGAGUUAGACUUGAGAAUUAGCUGGAGAUUCAUUUGGAUUUCAGUUCAACUGCUCUGUGGGAAUUCCCCUGAGCAAUUCAGAGUGUCUCUUUCUGUGAGGGCAAAAUAAUAAUACCUGUUUUACCAGUGUGUUAAGGAGUGAGAUCACGGGCUGAGAUAUUCAAUAAAAUACAACUGUUAAUGCCCAAUGUGCUCAUGGUCGCAAAAAUUGACAAUUAAUGAGCCCAACUUGAAGCGCCUGCCUGGCAAGCGCAAAGUCCUGAGUUCAAUUCCCGGUACUAAAAAAAAAAAAAAAAGAAUUGAUCCUAACUUGCUAAUAAAAGAAUGAUGGGAGAGAAAUUCAGGAAGAAACUCAUUUUAGAUGCCCUUAGUAUUGCCCUAGCAUACUUGUAUCCUUGUACACAUGGUUCACAGGUUACCAGGGUCAUGGAGUUCACCAGGGCCAUGGGCAUUAAAGAGAUCAGCAACAGUCAAUAUCCUGUAGGGUCCUCCUUCAACAUGUCCAUUGUCCCAAUAGUCACAUCACCAACACUGAGCUAACCAUGCUCAGUUCAGGCUUAUAUCAGCUUCACUCAAGUGCAAGUUGGCAGUACAUUACUUCCAACCUACAUUGUUGGCUUCUCGUUUUUCACUCCUGCGCUUCUAUGAUACUAAAACAGAAGUUAGCCCCCUCUAGUUCCCUGAACUCUCACACAUGUGCCACCUAGUAGUGUAGAGGAGUUAACACCCAUGAAACCAUCUCCACCCAAUACAACACAGGAACCUGGUCAUAAAUGCUUCUACCCUGUGAUCCUCCUACAUGGGCAGUUCUCACACUUGUUUCAUAAAGUGUCUCAAAAGGUCACACCAGAGAGUACCAGUAGGUGCCGCCUGUAUUAAAUGUCCUUGUGUUGACUUUCACUCCAUCCUCAUCUUUUGGUUCUGCUCCCUGGAGUUGAAUUCUAAUUAAACUUCUAGACUACACACAGCCUCUGUCUCAGGCACUGUUUUCAAGGAGAUAGAGGGUAAGACACUGCCUACACCUAUGGUUACCUAGAAAGCUGGCUUGUAGAGAUGGAAGAGACAUUAGUUCACUUCAAGGAUAAGAUAUUUCUGUGAAAAAGGUCACUAAUUGAUCUUUCCCAGGGAUUCUAGACAAAACCUUGGAAUUCUUCUCACACUGCUGUAGACAAUCUUGUCAAAGGAUGGAGGCUGAUCCUUGAGAUAGAUUUCAUUGGCUACCUUGGGUCCAACAGAUUGGAUGCAAAUCUCAGUUAUUAGCUAUAUGACCUUCAAAUACCUUUUGAAACUUUUCUAAACCUUAAUUUUUUCAUCUAUAAAAUGGGGAUAAGUUGUUUCACAUUAUUAUUAGGCAUAUUUAAUAUUCUUAAUUUAUUUAAUUAUUUACUGAAUGUACUGUUUAAUAGUGUAAUAUACCAAAACACUUAGCAAGGUCUAGGCACACACUAAAUUCUCAAUCAAUGUAAUUGUAUUCUCCCUUUCUUUUAUUUUAAAAUGCAAAUAUCAAGAAGAAGGGACAACAAUCAUUGUACACACUUGGCUCAAGGCUAAGAGAUCAAUGUCAUCUAGCUGGUAAAAGACAGUCUUUGGGUUCUAUUCUUUCUAUCAAACUGCCCCAUCUGGGACCUCAGACAACCUGACUACCAUCAUCAGAUUACAAACCCAGGGAGGGUCCGUUGAUGAUGAACAAGUGCCAACCCAGCUCAUCAAGCACCAUGAGGUCCUGCUACACUGUAGGAAGAAGGAGAAGGAGGACCAUAAAUAACUCUUAAGGCGGCCUUUCCAACCUGGCCUGCUCUUGAACCCAAUGACAGAGGAAGAAAAUGACCACAGAGAUUUGGAUCUGCUGGC
Molecule: long non-coding RNA, 2606 nt
Organism: Chinchilla lanigera (long-tailed chinchilla)
Lineage: Eukaryota; Metazoa; Chordata; Mammalia; Rodentia; Chinchillidae
Exons: 5
Source: RefSeq, a predicted model, not a curated record